GUGCACUGCUGGGCUAAAACUCUGAGUUUCUUAGAAGUUGCAUGAAGCCUUAGUGAUCAAUUUCUGGCCAGUGGAAUAUAGGCAGAAGAGAGACGCUAUGUUCAGGAAGUCCUGCUCAUGCCUGUAAAUUCCUGGAGAUCCCGCCUAUAAAUUCCCAGAGAUCCCGUGAAACCCGGCUUUCUUCUGGUGUAGAGGGAGUUCAGAGGACUCGGGUACAGGUUGCUGUUACUUCCUCCAAGGGUGCAACACCCUGUGUGGCCCCGUCCGCUGGUCUUCUCAUCUUUACAGCUAUAAGUAAUAAAAUUCUACUUUUCAUUUAUCCAGAGUGCCACUGUGUGCCUUCCAUAAUUAAAAUAAUAUUUAAAUCUUAUAAAACAAUGGUCUCAGUGAGCAGGAUGCAGUAGCCAUGAUUGUUGUCUCUUGGGUAGCUUCUUGGGAGUUCUACUCUUGGCUUCCUAAUUGGCUCCAGACCACCGUGGCUUACUGGGGACUUAUGGUUUAGAAUUUUUCUGUUUCUGAUGGCCACAUAUCUCCUUACCCAUAUUUUUUCAGUUGUGAAAUCUUCAAGCCAAACAGUGCUAAUUGGUUAAAUAAAUACUAGCCCAGGUGGGAGCCCAUUUAGGGCACUCAGUGAUAAGCUAUUUAAGCCACUCUUUCUAAAAGUAGGGCAUUCAGGUGUGUUUACAGUCUAGCAAGUGUUGGGUAAAGGCAUAUUCCAGAAGCUGUCACAGUUUUGAUGUAGUCUUUUUUUAUUAUCUUUUGGAGCCAGAACUCUGGUUUUUCCAUUGGUUUCUGACAACCAAAGGAAGAAGAUGUUUAGAUUCUGCGCAGGAGAGAAAUGGCACCUGAUCUCAUUGUCCAAGUUUCUCAGGUUGGGAGAGGUGCCUAACCAUACUGCAUUACAGUAGAGAGUUAUAAGAAGUAUAGAAGAAGAUGUAUGUGGCAGA
Lutra lutra (Eurasian river otter) is the source of this 947-nucleotide long non-coding RNA. RefSeq lists it as uncharacterized. The record is from RefSeq and is a predicted model, not a curated record. The transcript is spliced from 3 exons. Lineage: Eukaryota; Metazoa; Chordata; Mammalia; Carnivora; Mustelidae.